UAAAAAUAUUCUUAAAACUGGAGCACAGUACUUAGCACUAUUCGCUUUACGUUACUGUUAAUUGUAAUAUUCCUAUUAACUAUGUUUAUUCGGACAAAAACGGACAUAUUCAAGAAGAUUAGCACUCGACGGAGUUUCGAUUCUGAUAAAUUUUACAAUGUUGGAGAAAAACUGCAAGAAAUUAUCUUCCUUAUGGAUUUUAGAUGAUCAUCGGCCAAUUUGGUUUUUUUCCUUGUGAAUCUGAAACCGUGAAAGAGGUUAUUCUCUUAUAAAUGUAUUUUCAAACAAAGCGAUUAUUCUUAGUGCAAAAAUUCGAGUCUGAGCGUAAUUAUAUUUAAAAAAACCCAUGAAUAAAGUUUAUAUCACACUGCAAAUUAAUUAUCUCAAUUUAAAAAUUUUUUGGUGUAUUAUUCACAUUCAAUUUUAAUGAUUUUGAUGGUUUCAGUUACGUUUGCAUUUCCUCCUCUGAAACUACGGAAUUCCCCCUAGAGGGAAAUUUCCCGCCUGAUUGAGAACCUUUGACCUAGAAACAUAGAUCUAUGAAAGAUAAUUUGUUAAGAGAUGUUUAAUUGCGUACACUUUUCGAAACGCUUUGCGUAACUAUUUUCAUAUUUCUACUUUUUCGGCAUGUAUAAAAAGAUAUUAUUUGGAUAAUUUGUUGGCUAGAAGUGUAUAAAGGUUGGAAUGUCUAUUAUCAAUUUGUGUUUAAAUCUUCAGUUCUACAUAAGUAUGUAUUCCUUUUCUGAGGAAUUUCAGUUGUAGUAUAAUCCCGGUU
Long non-coding RNA from Stegodyphus dumicola, 775 nucleotides. RefSeq lists it as uncharacterized. NCBI's taxonomy places the organism in Eukaryota, Metazoa, Arthropoda, Arachnida, Araneae, Eresidae. The record is from RefSeq and is a predicted model, not a curated record.